Molecule: unclassified non-coding RNA, 359 nt
Filed under: Zea mays
Lineage: Eukaryota; Viridiplantae; Streptophyta; Magnoliopsida; Poales; Poaceae
Description: misc RNA Zm00001eb389790
Source: RNAcentral
CCAGCAUAUAUUAUCGCGCCAUCCCUUGCCUUAGCCAGAAAGAAACAAGAGAACCGGCCACACACGGGAUAGAUUCGGCACGAGAUCUCACAUUUGGGCAUCCUGGUGUUCCUCCUGGCCGCGCCCCCGGCGGCCGCAUCCCCGGAUCCGCCGUUGCUUGUUCCAACCGCGUGGCUGCUCAUCUCGCCGGCCACCACGAACACGCCGCCCCAGGAGCCAAGACCACCUCACGGAAGCCGCCGCAGGGACUGGCGGCGCGGAUUGGUCUUCCCGGCCGCCGUGAGAGGACGCUUCUCCCCGCCAGAGCAGCGCCGAUGGGGGAAACGAGGAGCUUCUCCGCGAUCUAGCUUGAUGCUACC